CGCUGGCGGCGUGCCUAACACAUGCAAGUCGAGCGGGGUCGUCCGGUAGCAAAUACCGGGGAAGACCUAGCGGCGAACGGGUGAGUAACACGUGAGAAACCUGCCCCGAAGUCUGGGAUAACCCGAGGAAACUCGAGCUAAUACCGGAUGUCUUCUUCUGAUCGCAUGGUCGGAUGAAGAAAGAUUUAUCGCUUCGGGAGGGUCUCGCGGCCUAUCAGCUAGUUGGCGGGGUAACGGCCCACCAGGGCGUCGACGGGUAGCUGGUCUGAGAGGACGAUCAGCCACACUGGGACUGAGACACGGCCCAGACUCCUACGGGAGGCAGCAGUGGGGAAUAUUGCGCAAUGGGCGAAAGCCUGACGCAGCAACGCCGCGUGCGGGAUGAAGGCCUUCGGGUUGUAAACCGCUUUCAGUGGGGACGAAUUCAGACGGUACCCACAGAAGAAGCCCCGGCCAACUACGUG
This 464-nucleotide ribosomal RNA is filed under the name uncultured bacterium. Its description in RNAcentral is "bacterial SSU rRNA". It matches the Rfam family "Bacterial small subunit ribosomal RNA", at positions 34 to 507 of the family's 1533-position model. The record is from RNAcentral.